RNAcentral lists this ribosomal RNA (252 nucleotides) under uncultured bacterium. RNAcentral describes it as "partial 16S ribosomal RNA". It matches the Rfam family "Bacterial small subunit ribosomal RNA", at positions 524 to 776 of the family's 1533-position model. The record is from RNAcentral.
UACGGAGGAUGCGAGCGUUAUCCGGAUUUAUUGGGUUUAAAGGGUGCGUAGGCGGAGUGCCAAGUCAGCGGUAAAAAUUCGGGGCUCAACCCCGUCGUGCCGUUGAAACUGGCGCCCUUGAGUGGGCGAGAAGUAUGCGGAAUGCGUGGUGUAGCGGUGAAAUGCAUAGAUAUCACGCAGAACCCCGAUUGCGAAGGCAGCAUACCGGCGCCCGACUGACGCUGAAGCACGAAAGCAUGGGUAUCGAACAGG